CACGUAGGGUGCGAGCGUUGUCCGGAAUUAUUGGGCGUAAAGAGCUCGUAGGCGGUCCGUCACGUCGGAUGUGAAAUUCCAGGGCUCAACCCUGGACCUGCAUUCGAUACGGGCGGACUAGAGUUCGGUAGGGGAGACUGGAAUUCCUGGUGUAGCGGUGAAAUGCGCAGAUAUCAGGAGGAACACCGGUGGCGAAGGCGGGUCUCUGGGCCGAUACUGACGCUGAGGAGCGAAAGCGUGGGGAGCAAACAGG
Molecule: ribosomal RNA, 253 nt
Filed under: uncultured bacterium
Lineage: Bacteria
Description: partial 16S ribosomal RNA
Rfam family: Bacterial small subunit ribosomal RNA
Source: RNAcentral